This 3547-nucleotide long non-coding RNA is filed under the name Coffea arabica (coffee). Its description in RNAcentral is "long non-coding RNA (CARA_LNC006184)". Lineage: Eukaryota; Viridiplantae; Streptophyta; Magnoliopsida; Gentianales; Rubiaceae. The record is from RNAcentral.
UUUUUUUUUUUUUUUUUUUAUUUCCCUUUUAUUGCUUUCGAACUUUUUUUUUAGUGUCUAAUGAAGCAUGGAUGCCAAAGUGCACAGCUUUUAGUCAUGAAAUUUGAUUAAUUUGUCUGAUAUCAGGAAGAUAUUGAACUCAUAACCAAGCUGGGUUUUAAGGCAUAUCGCUUUUCCAUAUCAUGGACAAGAAUCUUUCCUGGUAAAUCUCAACCACUGCAGGGGCUAGAGUAGGUUUCAUUAUGCAUAAAUGCUUGUUGAUUCUGGAAUGACCAGGGUGCUGCUCUAUGUUCUUCUUGAUGCUUUCUUUAUAUAUAACACCAAGGAUAUGUGAUUUUCUGUGUUAGUUGGAAAGGAUAAUUAGACAAUGAAAAGAUCAAUUCAUCAAAAAACAAAAAUAACUGAAGGAAUAUUCUACAUCACCUACCACUAUCAGUCUUCCACAUUCACUUACUCUUGGCAUAUUAUGUAAGAUACACUGAAGCAUAGUAGAUUAUAAGGUCAUGAAUGCUGACCAUCUAUCUCUUUUGCUUCCAACUUGUAUCCUUUUGAGAAGAUGUUAGGUUUCACCAUUGUCCUUUCCAAACUCUAGAUUGGUUCCUCUUCCAUGCUUCAUCAACUCUACUGAAGAUAAUGCUUGCUAGGACAUGAAGAGUUUUACCUCAAUCACUGUCUCUACCCUUCAGAUAUUCCUAAAAAGUUUUCUCAAAUGCUAAGAUCUCCUUGUCUCUCCUUGAACUGCAUCUUAAUUGGUACCAUUAUCUUGGGUUUCUUUGUCUUCCUUGUCACUGCAGAUGGUCUGGGAUCCAUAGUCAAUGAUGAAGGGAUAAUGCACUAUGACAAUCUAAUUAAUGCUUUUAUCAGCAAGGGUAUGUUCUCAGUUUUCUAUUUCCAUAGUAUUAUGCUCUCAGUUUUCUAUUCCCUAUUGGAGAACCCAACUAAUUCGAAGAUAUAAACGCUGAAAAGAAGAUCUCUUAGUUUUAGCUCUUUUCUUUUCUUUUAAGUUUUUUUGGCCUUCAGCAAAGGGUAUACCAUGUCAUGUUUCAAAACAAGAAGUGGAAAAUAAAAGAAUUUUGCUUCCUUUUACUUUCCAUUUUAUUUAAAUUUUCAAAUAUUUAGAACAAGUAUAUUUCAAGAAGUGUCUGCUUCUAAAUAGAAAUUUUUUUCUCUUUUUCUUUUUAAAUAAAUAUUCUUAGGAGAAUUGUACAUGUUUUUAUACAUCAUGAUGCUCUUGUUAGUUGUAACCAAAAGGUGUAGAAAGGCAAAGGUGGAACAGAAAUAUAACCUCAGAAUGAAAAGUGUACCUCCAUUUGUUGAGUAAAUGAUGUAUCAGGUUACAAAGGGAAACAUUCUUGUUCUGCCCAGACUUUCCUUUUCUAUCCUGUACAUAUUCACUGAAUAAAAUCCCCGGUUGCUUUGAGGAUUCAUCUUCUAGCAUAUUGAACAAUGUGAUUUCACUUUUUGGGCAGAAAAUAUUUUGCCAUCUAUGCAGAAACUUGCUUUACAAGAUUCAGCGACAGAGUCAAGAAGUGGAUUACCAUCAAUGAGCCACGUCAAACUGCAAUUAAUGGAUAUUGUACUGGCAUAAAUGCACCAGGAAGGCAUGAUCAUUCUUUAUCUGAGCCAUUAUUGGCAGCACAUCACCAGCUAUUGGCUCAUGCUGAAGCUGUCUCCAUAUACAGAAACAAAUUCAAGGCAUGGAUUUGCAGUUUCUUGAGACCUGGCUAAGGGUAGCAUUCCAUACUUCACGACAGGGUGAUCAUUUUUCGAAGUACUCAUAUCACAAGAAGUUUGACACUGAUGUCUGCAUUCUCCUUUCUUGUGAAUAUCUUCCAAUGUUAAAGUUGGCAGUAGAAUCAGUUUCAAAGUCAUAACAUUACGUUAUUGUCAGUUAUAAAUAUAAUGGCCAUGUCACUAAUUUUUCUCACAGGACAAGCAAGGAGGACAAAUAGGCAUAGCGUUGGAUUGUGAAUGGGCAGAGGCGUUGUCAGAGAGGGAGGAAGUAUACGAUCCUGCCAGCAAACUUGCUUUGCAAAAUGCAAACUGGAUGAGAUUAAUAGUCAAUUUCGAUUAUUUCUAAACAUCUUUGUUAGGUACUUGGAUCCUAUAUUUUAUGGAGAUUAUCCAGAAACAAUGCGAGAAAGACUUGGAGAAAAGCUUCCAGAAUUUUCUCAGAAGGAUAAAGAGCUGCUUAGAAAUUCACUGGACUUUGUUGGUUUAAACCAUUAUACCACAAGGUUUAUUGUUGAUGCAGAGACCAACAGUGAAGACAACGAUGUCUUCUAUAGAGUCCAGGGGAUGGAAAGAAUUGGUGAGAUGCAUGUGUAACACAAGUUAAUGUCUCAAAAUGCUAUUUAUUUAUUACCCCUUGUAUUCCCUCGCGGCCAUAAUUCUUUUCUGUUUUUUUUGGGCUAAUAGCUGAAUGGGAAGGAGGCGAAGUGAUUGGUGAGAAGGCAUGGGAUAUUUCUGCUACACUUCUUUUUUUUUUUCAUUCUUUACUUGUUUUGGAUGGACAUAUAUACAAGCAACAACAUGUUUUGGACAAUAUCCUUGUACGUACAGCAUCACCAUGGCUAUAUGUUGUUCCUUGGGCAUAUGGAAACUUCUCAAUUACAUGGCGAGCAGACACAAUAAUACUGCUAUUUAUAUCACCGAGAAUGGUGCGCCUCAUUGAACUCACAAAGCGAGGUGGUUGUUAAUGUAGGUUUUUUUUUUUCUUCCUCUUGAUUUGUCUUACCAUUUACACCAAAUUCUUGCUGAUGUUAUAUUGCUCUUUGGUUGUAAUCUUUACUGAUAUUUGCUCAACCUGCAAUAAUCUCCAACUACGAUGCAAUCCUUUUGACUCCCUUGUUUGGAUUGCAUUUUUCUGAAUUUUUUGUAAAAAAAUUACUAUAACUAGAUAAAAAGAUGAUUGAAACAUGUGGUCACAAAAAACGUAACAAUUUUUCUUUGAAAAAUGGCAAUCCAAACGAAGAUAACAAUUCUGCCAUUACACAUGAAGAUAACAAUUCUGCUUGGACCAGAGACUGGAAACCAUCCACAAUAGAUCAUUUUUCACUUCUAAAUUCAAGUAUAAUAUGUACUCGAAAGCUUAUUAAACUUAGAAAAGAGAGAGACAUGUUGUCGGAAUUUACCCCCUCACCGUAAGGUCUUGAUUCCGCCAUAUCUAGCAAUCAACUGUGGAACCCUCUUACCACAACCCAGCCUCAAGCAAGUGAUCGAUCAAAACAGAUACAGCGAAAUAGCAGAAGCCCUGAAUAUGAUGUGAUUUGAAUGCUAAACACAAUUUCCAGGCACAGAAGACAGGAAGAGCAAAAACGGAAUUUCCAUUGGCAUAACAUAUAUAAUUAGCAGGAAGACUAAUUUUACAUGAUGAUAUAUACACCUAAUUGCUGUUGUCCCUCUUGCACUGAUGUUCUACAAGCCCCAACUGUUAGGACUACCUAAACUAUAAACUACUACAUCUUUUUAAACAUGAAAAGAAUGAAGUAAGAAUAAACCCCCAUCAAAUCAAAUUAAGCUGCCCGCUGCCUACGAAAGUACAUAU